AUUGAACGCUGGCGGCAUGCUUUACACAUGCAAGUCGAACGGCAGCACGGGGGCAACCCUGGUGGCGAGUGGCGAACGGGUGAGUAAUACAUAGGAACGUAUCCUGAAAUGGGGGAUAGCUCGGCGAAAGCCGGAUUAAUACCGCAUACGAUCCACGGAUGAAAGCAGGGGAUUCGCAAGAACCUUGCGUUUCUGGAGCGGCCUAUGUCUGAUUAGCUAGUGGCGGGGUAAAGCCCACCAAGGCGACGAUCAGUAGCUGGUCUGAGAGGAUGAUCAGCCACACUGGGACUGAGACACGGCCCAGACUCCUACGGGAGGCAGCAGUGGGGAAUUUUGGACAAUGGGGGCAACCCUGAUCCAGCCAUGCCGCGUGAGUGAAGAAGGCC
RNAcentral lists this ribosomal RNA (386 nucleotides) under uncultured bacterium. RNAcentral's name for it is "partial 16S ribosomal RNA". It matches the Rfam family "Bacterial small subunit ribosomal RNA", at positions 30 to 416 of the family's 1533-position model. The record is from RNAcentral.